CCCCUAAGCAGUUUCCUGUGCUCUGGUGAUGGGCAGAACGGCACAGACAAUGAGGGAACAUGACUGGAAUACGGAGGCAGCCGUCCUUGCUGCUCGGCGUCCGUAUGGAGAGAGGUGCUCGGCGAUCUUCCCAACAACGAAAGAACACUGUGUGCUCCCGCCUUCAUAG
RNAcentral lists this long non-coding RNA (169 nucleotides) under Struthio camelus australis. Its description in RNAcentral is "lncRNA (ENSSCUG00000003524.1)". Lineage: Eukaryota; Metazoa; Chordata; Aves; Struthioniformes; Struthionidae. The record is from RNAcentral.